This is a non-coding RNA of Rhodnius prolixus, 119 nucleotides long. NCBI's taxonomy places the organism in Eukaryota, Metazoa, Arthropoda, Insecta, Hemiptera, Reduviidae. The record is from Rfam.
GCCAACGGCCAUACCAUGUUGAAUACACCGGUUCUCGUCCGAUCACCGAAGUUAAGCAACAUCGGGCGUGGUUAGUACCUGGAUGGGUGACCGCCUGGGAACACCGCGUGCUGUUGGCA